This 18834-nucleotide long non-coding RNA is filed under the name Chlamydomonas reinhardtii. RNAcentral's name for it is "long non-coding RNA (CREI_LNC001328)". The record is from RNAcentral. Lineage: Eukaryota; Viridiplantae; Chlorophyta; Chlorophyceae; Chlamydomonadales; Chlamydomonadaceae.
UGUGUGUGUGUGUGUGUGUGUGUGUGUGUGUGUGUGUGUGUGUGUAUAUGUGCGUGUGUGUGUGAUUGUGCAACACCCGUUGGGGGACAGGGCUGGACAGUAGCAGCGGCACGUGCACGCAGCCAAUGACUCGUCGUAAGGAGACGUGGAGGCGUGGAACAGGCAAGGGCCCAAACCAUACGCCUGCUAUCUUUCGCGCGCUGCGUACCCAUACCCUAUUUCAAGCACGACCCCGUUCUUGCCCCACCCACAGCCCACCACCAGCUCCCUUCCUUCACUAUCUAAGCCUGCCCCCACCAACCACCUCACCCCCGGCCCUGGCCACCCGUACCUGAGGCACGUAGCCGGCGCCGAAGUACGGCGGCGCGGAGCCGAUGCCGUAGGUGGUGAGGCAGCCCAUCAGGUUGGACAGCUGGCCCAGAGCGAUGGCCGCCAGCAUGGGCGGCGUGCCGCAGGCGGUGGCCACCGCCAGAAAGGCGGUGUACAUGGCGCCGAUGUGCGCGGCACCCGAGGCGAAGAAGUAGUGCGAGUAGAAGUACAGCAGCACCACAAUGCCGAAGGCGCCCUGGGAGGUGGUGGGAAGGGAUAGCGCGGGGGACGGGAUUGCAGGUGGGUGGGUGAAUAAUAGGGCCGAGGGCAGGCGCACCGUGUGCGACUUCUUAACUGCAAGCCCUGCACGGUCCACUCCACAGGCCCUCGAGGCCCCGGCUUGAAGGCCCGUGUCCUGCUUGCCCCGCCACCGCCCUGCAGCCACCCUUCCGCAUUGCCUCACCUGCCAGCCCAGGCCCAGGCCGCCCACGAUGUUGACCACCGAGGUGGACAGCCACGGGAUGAAGCCGUACUUGUUGAGCGCGGCCGCCAUGGCGAUCAGCGCCGCGAACCAGGUGAGGGUGUCCCAGGCCGCGUUGUUGUUCAGGCACUCCUUCCAGUUGGUCACGUUGGUCACCUGAGAGUGCCGGAAACGGGUUGGCGAUGGCGAGGCGAAGGGUGGGCAUGCACGUACGAAAGCUGAGAGCUUGGCAGGCCGUGGCGAAACCGCCCACGUCCGCAUGCUGUAGAAUCUCGUGCCGGCCUGUUUCCGGUCGCUGCUCCUCACCGGCUGCCCCUUCACUUCGUGCCAUUAAAGCUCGUGAAACCCACAACCACAUUCGCAGCUCUCUUUCCGCCCGUCACUCACCAGCAGGAUGAACAGACCGACGAUGGCGGCGGCCACGGCGUUGACACCGAUGGAGCCGCCGAAGAUCCACAGGGCCACGGUGAUGGCGAAGGCACCUGCGGGGUAAGGGGAUUGGACAGUGUGGCACGUCAGCACGUGCGCUGGACAAAGCUCUGCCACUUCCUACUGCAAGCAAGUGCCGAGCUACAUACUGCCCGCGGAAGACCCCUGGCCCAGGCUACCUCGCAGGCCGCAUCGGCCCCACAGUCCUGCUCCAGGCAUACACCAGACACACAUGCAUGCGCACGCACCGGCGGUGAUGACCUCGUUGGUGCUCAUGGGGCCCAGCUUGGCCAGCUCCUUGGCGGCGGUGGCGGGAGCGUCAGGAGUGUCCUUCACCUGUGGGUGUAUACGACGUAGGUGAGGGACGCAUAAGGCCGGAGGACAGCCUCGCGUGUAAGGAUCGUGGCUGCGCGGGGAUGCUUGCCUGCUCGCCAACAGAAAGCGACUCCCCAUCAAACUGUCUGCGCCCCUACUGCACUCAGAUCAUAGCGCGCCUGCGCCUUCCGCCCUUCGCGAGCCACAUCCCAUUUGCAUGACCGGUUGUUCCAGUCCCAUUCCCCCAAUGUUCCGCUGCCCACAUCCCGCACGUACCUCGGGCGGGUACAGGGCGUACAGGAUGAGCGGCACGCAGAUGAGGCACACGAUGCCGGGCACCAGGCCCGCCAGGGCCCAGGUGCCCCAGCUGAUGUUGAUGCCGGCGGAGGCGGCCAGGUUCACGGCCAGUGGGUUGGCGGCCAUGGCGGUGAUGAACAUGGCGGACGACACCGUGGUAGUCUGGCGGCAUUGGAGAGUGGCGCGAUACGGUUCAGUGGCAAGUGGAAAUAGGCAAGCCGGUGCAUGCGGUGAUCUGGUGCGACUCCCCUCGUCGCCUCGACGCACCGGACCUCCUCAGCCCAUAAUGUCCACUUGGUCCACUGCCCGACGCCAUGCCUGCCCAGCGCCUUAAAUCCCUUCUCCAUCUGGUUUCUAAACGCUAAGGCAACCGGUGCAUAUGCUGCGGUGCCCUGCAGACUGAACCCCACGAUAAUCCGACCCAGACCAGCGGAUAUCCUCAGCCAGCCAGUGCGGACUGCUUCCCCCACUGCCUGACACCAUGCACGACCACCGCCCAAUUCCCGGCGCCACCCAGUGCCACAAGCAAACCGCUACCUAUUCCCUUUCCCUCCCGCUCCAUUACCCCAGGCCGGCGCCCACCUGGAAGCAGGUGGUCAUGACGUAUGCGCCCAUCUUCUUGGCGGUGCCCUUCUCCGGGUCGGAGCCGCAGGCCAGGCACAGCGCCUUGGCCAGCGGGAAGAAGAUGCCGCCGGCGCGUGCCGCCACCGAGGGGAUGGCGGGCGACAGCAGAGCCUCAGCAAACACCAGAGCGUAGGUCAGGCCCAGCGUGGUCUUGCCCAGCGCGCCCACAAUCAUGUAGGCGAUGCGGUUGCCCAGACCCGACUUGAUGAAGCCGCCGGCCAGGAAGUAGGCGAUGGCGAUCAGCCAGCUGUGGGCGAGGGCAGAGAAGGGAGGAACCGGGAGGGGUUGGGAGGAGGUGAAGGGCGUGUGCGCUGGACGAGCCGCACGCGCAGCUGCAAGCAUGACCCGAGGUGCGCGGAACCCCAGAGCCCUGGACUAUGAAGGAAACAACGCCCACAUACACGCGAGUUACAUGGCUAUAAAAGGGAGUCGCAGGCGAGAUGGCGGUCAACGGCCCCGAAAAAGCGAGCGUGUGCGUCGGCACUUACGGGAUCUCUGAAGCGAAAGCGCUGAACGCCUCGGCAAAGGUCAGCACCUUCGUGAUCAUGGCAGCGCCCAGGCCGAUGAUGGCGACCGCGCCCAGCGGCAGCGGCGUAGUGAUGAUGCCCACGAUAGUGCCUGCACGCAGUAGCCAUGCGCGAGCGAACGAUUAGCCCACGGGAAUGACACUAGUAAAACAUACACCGUUGCGGAUAGCGCAGCCUGAAAGCGCUCUGGGAUGCAAGGUAGACCUUUCGAUGCUCACCGAUGAAGACCGCCAGCAGGUGCCAGGCCUUGGCCGUCACGCCCGCGGGGGGCGGGAUGAACCACAGGGCAGUAGCAACGCCCACGCAGAUGGCCAGGUCCUUCAUGUUGGCACCCCACUUAAAGGCGGGCUUCGCGGGAGCCGGGGCAGGGGACGAUGCGGCCCGAGCGCCGACCAACAGUAGUGGUCUUCUGGUGCGACAUUCGUAUUGACAUGAGCAAUCGCCGCCCGAACCAGCACAGAACAUGCCCGAACCAGCACAGAACAUGCCGCAACAAGACGGGGGUUUUACGUCUUCGCCGCCUGCUAAUUAAAAUACACAGCUAGCGAGCUAAAGCACUGCACGCCGCCUUAUCCAUACACGUAGUGCGAGCCCAGCACGACAGCCACAGUACCACAAUGAGUGCUGCGCAGGGUCCCGCAAAACACCCAUACAAUGGGGCACGGCAUGCCCCAUCCAGCCCUCAGCUAUCAUCCUUGCCGCCCCCCACGAAAUCAAACCGCCAGAGCACACCCCUCCGUAUCCCCGUCCAUGAACCGCUAGCAGUGGUAGCACACCAUGUUGCGAAACCGCCCCUGUGCUGCGAGACCGUGCAAAGCCUGGCUGCUGCCGCCGGUUUGCAGCUCGUUCCUUCACAGCCACCACGCGUGCAGAUGCUGAGUGGGAGAGCAACGCCGGUGUGCAGGGGCCUGCCUUGCAAGCUGAAAAUGUGCACUCGACCUGAUUGAGCAUCCGCCAUGCCGCAGCCGCAGGCCAGCUGCCCGUUAGCCGCCACCAGAGGCUGUGAAUGGAAAGAGUGGUUUGUGCGCAUGCGUUCAGGGAUGGGGUUGGUCGAGGACGUCCCACAGUUGCUUUCGCAAGGGAGACUAGGGAGACCCAGACGCCCGAUUGACAUGGCGGGGUAGUGAGCAGGCAGCUGGCAGCUGGUGCUACUGGCGCAUAGCAGGUGCAGACGGAAACAUGCAGCGGGUUAAGAAUUCGGCAGCCACACGCUCCGGGAGCCCAGCACCCCGCUCCGCCCCCGCCCUCAACCGCGCUGCGCUGCGCAACCGCCCUUCCACACUAUCACUCACCGACACUAAAUGUUCUUGUUGAUGAAGGCGGACACCACCAUGCCAACAGCGCUGACGGGGUUUAGGGGGAGAAGCAGCAUGAUUCCCACGAUGAUGACCACCGCGAGCGCCAGCUGCACAGCCAGCAGCUGAACCUUGUCAAAGCGUGAGUCUAUUUUGCGUUCAAGUCGUGUAAUGUCGUCCUUGCUGGCGAGGUCCUUCGGUGUCGGGAAGACACUCAGCAUCACCUCCGCCUGGGGCUGCGUGAAGUGAUUGCCCUUGAGUACAGCCUCGCGGAGCUCAAAAGUGGCCGCACUUGACGUGGCCGAGCUCGUGGACGGCUGCGCCACGCAGGUCCUCACAGAGAUCCGCCGCUGCUGCAGCAGCGCAGAGCGGUGUCCCAUGGCGGGCUGCUGGCCCAGGGCGAGCUCGUUGUAAGACUUCGAAAAGCUGCACAGCGCCAUAGGAGCGCAGCGCGUGUUCCGUGUCUAGAUUCAGAAAGGAUAAACGUCACCGCACGUUGGGAAGGGUCGAAUGAUAACGAUUACUUUGCACGUUUACUGCUUGCCUUGCGUUUUCGGAGGGCGAGGGAUGGGGUCCCGCGGGAUGGGGCGUCCGCCCGCUCGCGAUGGUAUUGCUCCUUUUCACUUUUUGCACAGCUGCGGCAGUCGCCUCCUCCUCUCGCAAUUUUCUUUGUAUUUAUUUACCAGGCGCUGAUGCUUCUCCCCCUAAACCCCGUCAGCGCUGUUGGCAUGGUGGUGUCCGCCUUCAUCAACAAGAACAUUUAGUGUCGGUGAGUGAUAGUGUGGAAGGGCGGUUGCGCAGCGCAGCGCGGUUGAGGGCGGGGGCGGAGCGGGGUGCUGGGCUCCCGGAGCGUGUGGCUGCCGAAUUCCUAACCCGCUGCAUGUUUCCGUCUGCACCUGCUAUGCGCCAGUAGCACCAGCUGCCAGCUGCCUGCUCACUACCCCGCCAUGUCAAUCGGGCGUCUGGGUCUCCCUAGUCUCCCUUGCGAAAGCAAUUGUGGGACGUCCUCGACCAACCCCAUCCCUGAACGCAUGCGCACAAACCACUCUUUCCAUUCACAGCCUCCGGUGGCGGCUAACGGGCAGCUGGCCUGCGGCUGCGGCAUGGCGGAUGCUCAAUCAGGUCGAGUGCACAUUUUCAGCUUGCAAGGCAGGCCCCUGCACACCGGCGUUGCUCUCCCACUCAGCAUCUGCACGCGUGGUGGCUGUGAAGGAACGAGCUACAAACCGGCGGCAGCAGCCAGGCUUUGCACGGUCUCGCAGCACAGGGGCGGUUUCGCAACAUGGUGCGCUACCACUGCUAGCGGUUCAUGGACGGGGAUACGGAAGGGUGUGCUCUGGCGGUUUGAUUUCGUGGGGGGCGGCAAGGAUGAUAGCUGAGGGCUGGAUGGGGCAUGGCGUGCCCCAUUGUAUGGGUGUUUUGCGUUUUGCGUUUUGACCCUGAGCAGCACUCAUUGCGUUUUGCGUUUUGACCCUGAGCAGCACUACUCAUUGUGGUACUGUGGCUGUCGUGCUGGGCUCGCACUACGUGUAUGGAUAAGGCGGCGUGCAGUGCUUUAGCUCGCUGGCUGUGUAUUUUAAUUGGCAGGCGGCGAAGACGUAAAACCCCCGUCUUGUUGCGGCAUGUUCUGUGCUGGUUCGGGCAUGUUCUGUGCUGGUUCGGGCGGCGAUUGCUCAUGUCAAUACGAAUGUCGCACUGAUGUACAACAACAAUGCAAGACAGAGCUGUACACCAACGCCAAGCAGGACUGACCUAGUAGAUGCAGGGGUGCAACCAACCUGCGGUGGAUAUACCUGCUGGACAACAUAUGUACUGGAUGAAUGGCAAACUGGGCGGCAAGCGUGUGCAACGUGUGCUAUGCACCGCUACUGUGUCCGUGCCUAAUAGGGCGGUGGUAAUACAGGAUUGCGUGUGUACCGGUGAGUGUUGAGCAUAUGUAACCAUGUGGAGCGUCACAAUCACAUAAUUGCUUUUGGGACUCGGCGUGGGGCCAAGUUUGGUGCUGUGUGGGCGGGCCAUGCGUACUAAAGCCUGGUUAGUUUGGCGCAGAGAUAGAGCCCAGGACUCGUCUUUUGCCUCGUUAGCAGUCGGCCUAGGCGGCAUACGCUGGAACGGCAGAGCUGGGCUGAUUGCGGAGUUGGGGCUGACAGACCAGCUGGAAGACAGCGAACAGCCAAGCGCACUUUCACUGCAGGACAGCUCAAACCAGGGGUCGUAUCUUGUUUUCAGGGCAAUGUCUAGGCUCAGACAAAACCGGCCGGGUGGCCGCCGUCUUUUGUCUGGGCACAUGGCGGUUUGGGGGCUUCUCCAUAGGAAUUGGGACAAAACCCGCCCCAAAACCGGGCGAACAAUGUCUUGCCUCACACAUUAGUCCCCAGGAGGAAUGCCUAGGAAACGGCCAAAAUGGCCAAUUAUUGUCUGGACUCUGGAGACAUUAAGAUAGGAGCCGUGGCUCAAACCGCAAGCGAGCGCGCGGCGUGCACCACGCGCGCCACCGCACAGCCACGGCCACACACCAGCGCGCGAGCACAGCGCUAACAAAGCAGCGGACCACCGCCAGAACCAGGACGGCAGCACCGACAAAACGAACAACAGUGACAACGAGGCCACACAAACACCGCCCAGCAGGCGGACAACGGCCGCGCGAAGCCAACAACGCCGCGGCGGCACACCAACAAAACAGCGCGAACACCAACCGCAACACGUGGGGUACCCCCAUUCCGUAACCUGGUUCCUGCAACGACAAGAAAAGGUGGCUCUCCCUCGCAAGGGAAAAGUGGGCUGUGCCGCCACGCCACGUCCUCCGUCUGAGGCCGAAGGUUCCGAUACUAGCCUCAUCUCCCGGACAUAGCCGGGGUCGGUUUGUACAGGCACCGCCCGCCAUAUGUGCCCAGUCGCUUCGCUCAGGGGGCUCAGCCCAAAAACGUAUGGGAACGAAAAGCAGCUCCAGGAUAACGCCACAGAGAAAAAGCACGGAACCCUGGCAAAGCACAAAAAUCCCUGCGGCAGGCUGGAGCGCGCUAGCCCAAAACAUCCCCAAUUCAUGGAGUAACGCACGUCAAUAACGGCGGGGCAGCGGGCUGCACUGAUCCCCUCGGGGGCCCACCGACUGCCCUCUACACCGCCGCAACUAACCAAACGCUCACACCAACACCAACACGCGCCACACAGUAGGGUACCUGCGUGUGUCGAAGAUGCUCAGGAUUGUGGCCUGUUCAGGGAACCGCACUGGGCUGGGGGGAUCCCGCAGGCGCGCCCUGCUGUACCAAUAAAGGCGUGGUCCUUUGUCAUCCACGAGCAUGGAGCCACUUGUGGGCGUGUCACUGAUGCGACAUUGCUCCGACGGCGGUUGUUGUUUUGCGGGCGCUUGGAUUCGACCUGGCUGCAUCGCAAGCGUGACCCACUGCAUGGUGCACUGUGCCACUUCUCAGGCCUUGCCGGUGCUGGAUUGGGAACUUACCAGUGCUCACUUGUGUGCUGGUGCAGCCCAUGAUCUCCUUCGGCGUGCAGGCCGUUUGCGUAUCGGGCUCAGACAGAGCCGUGCUCAGCUAUAUAAACUGAGUAGCCCAGCGACUGACCCAGCUUGCCACAGGCACGCGGUGUCCAUGCCUGCCUCUCGCGGCUGUUAGAGAUGCUAAGUGCUGCGGGGUAAUGGGGCUAGUGGUGACUGGUGGUGAAUGCCAGUAAGUGCUGGUGGUCUGUGCCCUUCUGCGGACGGCUGGGCUUGGGCUGCGUUAGUUGUGCUCCAUGUUAGGUGUACGACCGUUGGGCUGUGGUGCGGCGCUGCCGGCGGCCUGCCAAACAUGCAAGUGAUGCAACGUCUGGAACCCAUUAACUCCUUAAUACCCACCUCGACUGGCUUUCAGCAUGGCGUGGGUUGCCACGGCCUCUGCACCUGCCACCUGGAUAGUGGGCCAACUGGGUCCUGGCCCGCCAAGCAUGCGCCGUAUGUACGAACCUCCAGAGCCCUCCAGAGCCCUCCAGAGCCCUCCAGAGCCCUUAGCUAGAGCCCUCCAGGGCCCUUCAGAGCCCUUCAGAGGCUUGUGCAGAUCCCUCCAGAGGCUGAGCGGCUCUGAAACAGCCUGUGUUGGGAAUGCCAGACCACCCUCAAUGCAGCAGGAAGCCGCUUUGUAGCUCUGGCUGCCUGAGGAGGACCUGAGCCCCAAUGUCUACCGUAAAUUCAGGAAGGGCAUAAAUUGAAUUCUCAACACUGGGCACGCGCACACGCAAGCAUAGCGACAGGUCAGAAGCUCGGCUGCUUUGUGCGAGGGGCUGACGCAACGGGCUUGCAGCCGGAUUUGGAUCGGGUUGACUAUUACACGAAUCAGCUGGUCUCCGCCUCACAGUCGCUGACCCUUCCGGCCAGGAUCCGCAUUGUAGCUGCUUCGCCUGUGCCAACGCAUAGCGCCAUCCAGACACUUGAUGCAUUGCACGCCCGCCCCGGCGCGCUGUGGGCACCUGGUUCUGCUAAGCAGGGCUACGCACGCAUGACGCACGGUGAUUUGGGCAACGGCUGACGCCGUGACGCCGAUGAUGAGAGUGAUAUGGUAUUGGUGGCAAGAGGUGCUAUCAGCAGGGCCUCUGGAGGUGUGCGAGACGAGAAAACCAGACACCGAGAAUGUGAGACACGGUGUGCGACAGCAGUGGCACGGGGCGUGCGUGAGGCGGCUGCCCUGCCGCUGCCUGACGUGGACGGGCCCCAAGUGACAAGCAACACGAGGGCAGUGGGAGCGGCGCCGCUGCCGUUGUGGGAGGGGUCGCGCGCUGCACCCACGAGUGUGGCGCUGGCGGCUGUGCCGUCUUGCGCCGCCUGGCCACCUGCCAACACGCCCGGAUGGAGCCCGCGAUAGAUACGGUCAGAAGAGACUCAGCUGGCGGAGGAUGUUUUCGCCAAGGUGGCGGCCCACUCCAUCACGCUGGCGAAGGCGGUGUAGUGUGACAGCCGCGCCGUCCUGGCCAAGGUGGGCAGCAAGUGCCUGGGCCUCGCGCGCAGCACCAGCGACGGCGCCAGACGUGACGGCAUCAGCGGCAGUGGGCUCAGCGCCAAGAGCGGCCUGCUGGCCGCAGAGGCGCAGCCAGCUGCGGAGAGUGGCAGCGACGAGGAGGCCCCUCCCGAUACCGCCUUGGCGCGCUGCAACAACGGCGGUAUCAGGUCUGCCGCAUCGCGGCGGCCUGCUGCGAUAUCCAGGGCGCCGAGAUCCACCUGCGCCGACACGGGCGCAUCCAACUGUGUAAUCUCCCGGCGGGCCCUGUCGCUGCUUGGCCUGCUGGGCGACGUUCGCGACACCCGCACCACGUUCUACCACGCCAACGGCGCGGAGGAGCGCGCCAAGCGCAAAGUCAGGGUGGUGGUGUGCCUGCCCGGUCUGACUCGGACUGUGGAGAUGUUUUGUGUCAGACGCCGCGAACUACGACGUGCUGCUGGGUAACGACUUCCUGGGCCCUAUCCGCGCAGAUAUCAGCUACAGCCGCAGUGUGCUCGAGUACGACGGCAACGAGGGCGGCCGCCACACCGUCCCUGUGAUCAUCACCCGCGGCGAGCUGCUGGACCUGCUGACGCCGCUUGACGUUCACGUGGCGUCAGGCCGCUUCAGCAGCGGAAGGGCGCGGUCGAAUGUGCUGACUCCGGGCGGCAGCCCUGGGCCGCCGGGUUUGCUGAAUGCAGCCGCCGCAUCUGCCACAGUGGCGGAGUCAGCAACGACGACCACGGCGGCUUGCCGGCGGCAGCACUUUGCCGACAGCAGCUAGCUGCUCAUGCAGGAGGCAGCCGGACCUCCGACACUGCCAGUGGCGGCGGCAGCGGUCGGUGACAACGGUGGCAGCGGCGGCGGUGGCGGCGGCACGCUCCGGCACCUGACCGUGCGCAACGAGUCGCCGCCCCCGCCUGACAACACUUGUGUGGAGCAGUCAAAGAGGCGGCGCCACCUGGGCGAGCUGUGGGAGCGGCAAGCCACCCGGCGUGCCCCACAGCACCGUCUGCAUCAGCCGCCCAGCCGGGCGCGCCCGCAAGCCCCGGACUAGCCGCCGGCUACACGAGGGCAGACGGCGUUGGACGCGACAGCGCUGACUGAGUUCAAGUUUGGUCCGAUGGCUGCCAAAACAGCAGCGCUGAUUUUCUUCUUUAUGCACACAAUAGGCCUGCUGAUUCGCGGCACUUGCGGGACUGUGUGGGUAAGUGGGAUGGCAGGUUUGGGGCAGGUUUGGGGCGGCAGGUCGGUUUGGAGAUGAUGACACGGGAUGACACGGGAUGACACAGGGCGGUUUGGAGAUGAUACGGGGUGACACACGGGAUGACACAUGGGAUGACACACGCCCUGUUUGCAUGUUGAACUGCAGGGCCGCGACGCCAACUCGGCUACAAACAUGCGGCACGCGCUGAUGGAGAUGCUGCUUGGCAAACCGCGGCCUGCAGCCCUGCGACCUGCUGGCGGCGGUGGCGGUGCAGGGCCUGGCGGCGGCGGUGGCGGUGGCGGUGGCGGUGGCGGUGGCGGUGGCGGCGGUGCAGGGCCUGGAGACGGCGGUGGCGGCGGCGGUGGCACCGCGCCUACCGGCGGCAACAGCAGCGGCCACGGCGUUGGGCCCGGUGGUGGUGGCGGCACGGGCGGCCCUGGGCCCAGCGGCAGUGGCGGCGCACAUGUUCGGAGCAGAGGGGGCGGGCAAGGCCACGUGGAGGAGGACAGCGCGGCGCCGCCUUCAAAGCGGCGCCGGCGCGCAGGUUGAGACCUGCCGGUGUUGUCUGGUUAGCGACCUGUGCUGACGAGCAUGGCGUAGCAGGCAGUCGGCUGCAGCGGCAGGGGUGUUUUCCUUGCUGUCUGGUUGGCCUGCUGCCUGCUGCACUAGUGCUUGAUAGCUGGGCGCGACUGGGCACAUAUGGCGGGCGGUGCCUGUACAAACCGACCCCGGCUAUGUCCGGGAGAUGAGGCUAGUAUCGGAACCUUCGGCCUCAGACGGAGGACGUGGCGUGGCGGCACAGCCCACUUUUCCCUUGCAAGGGAGAGCCACCUCUUCUUGUCUUCUUUAUGCACACAAUAGGCCUGCUGAUUCGCGGCACUUGCGUUUGUGUGUUUGACGUGCAGAGGGACAUUGGGGCGGGGGCAGCCAAGGCAUCGAGCAUGUGCACUCGCGCACACUCCUUUUCCUGGCUUGUUCCAGCCCUCUGGUGGCUCCAGGACGUUAUUCUGGCUGUGGUAUGCUUUUGGAAAUUGCGGCGUUUGCAGGGGGGGGGUAGGAUCUUCCGAAACAGACCCCAUGCCUCAAAUGGAUAGAGCUCAACGAGAAAAUCACGAAUCCGCUUUCAAAAUCGAAAAUGGGUUUCUGGGUGCAAAGUUAUGGAUGCGAAUUACAAUUGAAGGGACAGUCCGACAAGCGGGGGCACACCGUACCCACGCCGCGAGGGACCGUCUCCGGCCCAGAGAGAAACACCCACCCCCUGGUUGACUGCCGACCUUCAUAGCGUUACGCGCAUGAGUCGAAGCCAAGCCGAAGCCCGCCAAAGCCCCACCGCAAAGUUAUGACCCCUCAAAGUGGCCGGUCGGUCGGUCGGUCGGGGGUCCCAAGAGGUUUUGCACAGGUUCGUGCCAAGUUUUGUUCCUAGCGCUUCUGUCCUGCAGCACGCGGCGCAAUGGGUGCAGCUCAACGAUGCGUGCGUAGGUAUACCCCAGACUCAGCACACGUGCAUAGUUUGGGGCAGUUUGGGGAGCGGCAUGUCGGCAUUUUGGGAGAUGCCUGGGGAACUGGUCAGGGACAGGCCGGUGCCGGCCGGGUUUUGCAUGCAUGAACGUGUCAGCACAUUUCGUAUCAUCAAGUAACAUUGAAGUAAGCCGUUGCAUAGCAGGCCAGUCUAUCAGGAUACUUGUCGGCAGCCGGGCCACAUGUCCACAUGUCCACAUGUCGGUCGGUCAAAGUGUGUUCCCAAGGCGGAUCAUCAAACAUAGCGAUAGAGCUCACCGAGAGCAGUCAAUUGGCACCAACCUGACAAAAAACUAAGGGGUUCUGAGGGGGUUUUGGGGGGUCGUACGGCAGGGGGGGUCGGUCGGUCGGUCGGUCGGGGGGUCCGGGAGGUUUUGUGGCAUGGGGUCAAAAAAGUUUGUUCCUACCCCCCCCCCUGGCGUUUGCAUGGAGUAGCUCAGGCGCUGCAUGGGGGUCGUCACAUGGGGCAGCGGUGGGCGGCAGCUGAGCCGCAGCCAAGCCAGGCCAAGAGCCCAUGCAGGAGCCGCGCGGGCGCCCUGGCUAGGCAUAGUCGUCACUGGGGGCCAGAAAGACUAGUGAGAACCCGGCACUCUGUGUAAACUUACCACGAGUAAUUGACAAGCAACAAAUCUUGCUCAUACCGGAUGAACAGAUUCCCAGCCCAGAGGGCUCUUCUGCUGAUAGCGACUCUGUCAGCAAGUCUGCUAAGCUUCCAGCGCUCAGCGCAACAGUGAUUGAGAUAUGGGCCUUCGGCCACAGUUUCCCCCCUCCCCGCGGGCAACACUCCGUGCCCCGGGCGUCGGCACGUCUGGUCGCAUCGGACCUCGUCUUCGUGACCCGUCAACCCUAGCGACGCGGCCCUGCGGUAUCAUACGUACCCAAGCUACGUAUAUCGGCAGCUACAAGCGCCUGGACGCGCACCGACGAGCCUCGCGAGUCUUCGGUCAAGGACGUCGAGACCGGCCAAGGCUUCCCGACCCCUCCGUCAAGGCUUCGGCUAUCAAGACCUGACUACACGACACUCGUGUGCAAGUCAAGGCUAUUCUGAGACUCCCAUCACGUCAGCGACGCGAAGACCGACAACUUGACAUCGAUUCAAGACCGGCUUCACUGGGUCAACGCUUCGAGUAGUUCGAAAGUUUCAACAAGACCUUCGGACUACAUACGAGCCCAGCCCAAGAACAACUGACAGAGUCUUGAGAUUCCGAUUCAUUCUGGGCUGUCAAGCCAGUCCAAAAGGCUUGCAGCAGCCAAGCUGUACAUAUCUUAGGGGGAAGGGAGCUGAGUGAGACAGCACCCACGGCGCCAGUUGCUUGGAUUCUUGCAUCGGCUUGACACGUUUCGUGCCAUUGCUCACAGGUCUCCCUUGCUUCGGCGCAUUCCCGCCGGCUUGGAGCGACCCGGCCCUCACGGCCUCUCGCCCAGCCAACUAUAUUUAUCCUGACCGCCAACGACGAUUUAGUAAAGCUAUUCAAGACCGCAGGCAGCUGCUGCUGGGAGAAGCUCCGCUGCAGUCAGCCCGACACAUUCGCGCUGCAGAAGGCGUCCUCCCCAGCGAUAAGGGGGCCGCCCGCGCGGAGUCGCGACAGCAUCACCACGUCAUCCGGCGGGUCCUUCAACUUUGGCCUUGGCAACUUUUACCUGCGCAAGGUGAUCCUCAACGUCUCCAACUGUCGCAACCUGGGUGCUCGGGCGAAACCUGAGCGACACGCCCAACACCAGCAUUCAAGGCUGCGCGGCCGCUACUAUGGCAGUGUGAGCUAUCCCAAGCGCGUGCAGUGAGUUGCCCUGCAGAAUGGGUACACCACCAACCAGUACGUGCUUGAGUGCCGAGCCUGCUUUAUGACUCCUGACAACCAGUGGACCCCUCUCAGAUGAGUCCUACUUCGAUACCUUUCCCUUCCGCCCGCGGAUUGGCGAUAGCGGACUGACCAAGACGCUGGGAUUCGCAGAUCCACACCCCAUCGACCGCCCGCUCUACCCGCACUUCAAGACGCGCGCGGGGACGUGUCAUCGAGUGCCGAGAAGCGAAACAACGUGGCAGCGCGACCGACCAGUACAGCGUGCCGAUGGGGUCUGAACUUCACUCAAAGCGAACAAGAGUAAAUUCUAAAUUACUUAGCGAUGGCUUUAUUGAUGGUAUCGCGACUACUGAUGUCACUAUGAACUGAGAGGUUUCGGCCGAGUUUCCUUUGAGUUUCCGCCGAGUUUCCUCUGAGUUUCUGUGCCUCGCUCCUUUCGCCCCUCAGCACUGCGCCGCCCCCCUUUCAAGGCAGCCCUAGCAGCCCCGAUUGCAUUCCCGUGUGCACCACAGCUCCCAUUGCCAUCCUGGUCGCGGCGGGGGUCGGCUGGCGCCGCGCCUGCCGCGCCCGUCACCCUCACUCCUCAGUCGCGUGUGCCCCGCAGCCCAAAUGCAGCUGAUGGAAAGGCGCAGCCCCAUGCAUCCCAUCUGAGUUUACACGCAGCUCACACGCAGCUUCCCAACCAGCACCGCGCCAAACUGUGAGCGCCCACUCGCGCGCCACGCCAACAGCCAGCUACCAUCCCUGAGCUCCACCGUACGCUUGUGCGCUCCUGUCGCUUCGCAGCCGGCUUCCCGCGCACUUCCAGCUCCCAGCCGUACAGCUACCCGACUCAUGCCAACGACCCGUGUGCGUGCCCCCAGGCUCGGCAGCUUCCCAGCCGGCCCAUCGUACAACUACCAGCUCCCGGCAAACGCACGGCUGAGGGGGUUGGGUGCCGUACACGAGUUAGUUGGGGGGUAGUCGGAGCUGUCCUAGAACAUACAUUAUACUAUUUUUUGGGCUGAGCCCCCCCAGCGAAGCGUUCCAGGGGGGGGCGAAGCCCCCCAGGAACACCCCUGUCCGUGGCUGCGUGGCUGCGUGGCUGGUGCGUCGGCAAAACAUAGCAUACUGGCGCAAACCGCGACUGCUACGUAUUAGUAUUUGUUAAUGCCUAUUGCAUGUAAAUAGGUGGCAGGGAAAAUUCGGGCGGAGCGAGAAGUGCCUUCGCGGUCCAUGGACAAUUGACUUUCGCGAGGUCGCGAGGAAAGCAUCCGGUGCCCGCUGAUAUGCAGUCUCUAAGGCAAAUAUGUUGGCGGCAAGCAAAGCGGGGAAGUAUAUCGAAAGUUUUGAGCGACUUGCUGAGCCAUGCCUGCUAACGCGCCAGAAUGCCGAGAAGCCCCGAGGUCGCCCCCGCCCCGCGCCCAGCCCUUUGAGCGUGGGGCGCCGGGGAGGUGUUGAGUAUGGCAGGAGGCGAAAGAAAUGCUUGGGGUGUUUGGGAGCGUGACAAGGCACGCAUGCGUGGCGCGGGAAAUCCCGCACGGCCCCAACCCGAGUGUCCCUAGCCGAUGCGCCUGCGCGUCGUAGCGGCAUGGAGGCUCUGACGGGGCGUUGCACGCCUAUUAGCUCCCAAGCGUACGGGGGCUCAGCCCAUUUUCCAGCUGUACAAAGCUGACACCCCUUGUUCGUGUACGGCACCCCCACCCCCCUCAGCCGUACAGGUCCUGGUACCUUCCUCCAAGUUUUGACUGGGUUUCCCUUGAGUUUCGGUGCCCCGCUCCUUUCGCCCCACAGCGCGGCGCCGCCCCCGCCGCGCCAGUUUCAGUGCAGCCGCCCCCCGCCGCGCCGGUCAGCCGCAGCCGCGUGUGAGCUCUGAUGCAGCUCGAUCGUAGGUAGGAAGACUGACACGCCGCACCGGUGCACGCAGUGCACCGCACGCGGCCAUGUCCUCACCUGGCUGGAUCACAUCCCAUCACAUCCCAUCACAUCCCACACGCCACUUCUCAGCGCGGCGGGGACGGCUGGCGCCGCCCCGCCGCGCCAGUUACAGUGCAGUCCGUGUGAAUCCCGUGUGCAGCCCAGAUGCAGCUGAUGGGAAGGCGCAGCCCCAUGCAUCCCAUCUGAGUUUACUCUCCGCAGCUGUAACACACGAAGCAGUUUACAAGCAGCUCACACGCAGCUUCCCAGCCGGCACCACACGCAACUGCCAGCUCCCACUCGUGCGCCACGCCAACAGCCAGCUACCAUCCCUGAGCUCCACCGUACGCUUGUGCGCUCCUGUCGCUUCGCAGCCGGUCUCCCGCGCAACUUCCAGCUCCCAGCCGUACAGCUACCCGACUCAUGCCAACGACCCGUGUGCGUGCCCCCAGGCUCGGCAGCUUCCCAGCCGGCCCACCGUACAACUACCAGCUCCCAGCCGCGGCAGCUACCGACACCCAACCCAGCUCCUGUACGGCUAAGGGGGGUGGGGGUGCCGUACACGAGUUAGUUGGGCGUUAGUUGGGCGUUAGUUGGAGCUGUCCCAGGAUGAAGGUUUAUCUUUUUUUUGGGCUGAGCCCCCUGAGCGAAGCGAUCCAGGGGGAGGCGAAGCCCCCCAGGAUCGCCCCUGCGUUCCCCCUGGCGCACCUGCACUCGCAGCGAGAGCCACUCCCUUGAAUGCCGCCACGGCUGCAGCACGCCACCAAACAUGGCGCGUGCUGCUGCGAAGCGGCUGCAUGUAUGGUGGGGAGCCCGCGCCGAUCCCUGCGGACCAGGCCUCCUCGCGAGCGGCACGUUCAAUGGUGAACCGGUUAAUGGGGGUGUCAAUCUGCGCGACCUCGUCGAGAGGCCGAAGUCGCGCAGAUUGUUCGGGGGGCUGCAGGAAGCGGCCCCCCACGCCGCAGCGCUACAGAAAUACAGUUGCAGACGCCGGCGCGCCAGACUCAGCUCACACGCACAUGGAUGCGGAUUACAAUUGAAGGCCAAGCGGGGGCACGCCGUACGCACAUGCAUGCAAGCGCAAUCUGCGAUUGAUUGCCUUGUGCACUCACGCACGCAGGCCCUGGGCGUUUGCCGCAUCUCAGCCAGAGCUGAGGCGACGCCCGGGUGCAAAGGCAGUUGCCUCCAGAGUCCGGUCCAGCCAAGUAACACGCACCAAACAACUAUCUGCGUUGCAGCAAACGGCAUUGAAAUGGCAGCGGGCGUGAGUGGCAGCCGCAACAGCGGCGUUCUCGGCAGUCGAGGUAAGACGCGGCCCUAGGAGCGGCUGAGCUGCAUGCGUGGGGCUUGCAACGACGCGUGAAGCAAAGCUGAGUCUCGGUGGAAACCGCUACGAGGCUAAAUCAUGUAAACUUGAAGGAGUCGCGGGUCGGCCCGGAAGUCGGCUAGGGCCGGCUACCUGUCAAUGCGAGGUCGUCUCCACGCCCGGCCCAGGGCCCAUCCGUUUCCUGCUUCGGAAGCGGUGGCCGCGCACGCAAGUUUUCCCCAACUGGCAUGCUUGUCGCGUGUGCUGUAGUGUCUAUGGCUUGCCGCUUGGGCCGUGCAAGCUGGUCUGCAUGCUACGUCCGGCGCACCCACCUACCGCAGGCUAGUGCUUGGCCCUGAUGCGCCACGACACGCAGGCUACACAGUGCCUAGGGCGCACCUGUCCUGCGAACUUCGACUUGCAGGGCUUUGCCACGCCACAUACUGCAUGCUUAAGCAGUUACAAUGUUUCUUCUCUGGGUUUGCGUGCCGCAAGUAUCACUCCCACUCACUGGCUUCCCUCAACAAGGCCAACUCCAAUCCGGGGUGUGAUGCUCACAGGAAACACGCUAAUCAAAAAGCUUCGUGCCACAUUCCAAACAUUCGAGCACGCACACGCUAGAUACGAUAACCAACAGUAGGACGAACCAACAACCGACCGGGCAUAGCAGUCCUGCAACUGCAUGGACCAUGCCUGCCCGUCCUUGGCGAAGGCAAACACCUCGCCUCGGACUGCAGCUCUUCACAUGUACAGUAAUGCAGCUCAAGGCCCGUCAUGCUGUGCAAAAAAGCCCGCCCGUUGUAAAUCUUACAUCUGUCCAGCUACAGCAAAACGAUAAGCCAACCAUGCCCAAUCUUACGGCGAAUGGUUUCACAGCACGUCAACGGACGAGCGACCGACGUUCUCAGAUGUCAACUGAGGCACAGGCCAACGCUGCAGCGCCCACAGCUCACACCGCCAGCGCCUUGCGGGCCGCGCGCCUAGCGCUGCGGCAGCGGCGGCGAAAGCUGCUUACCACAGGCCAAUGACCUUCCACCAGGCGCCGCCAAUGCCCAGCCACACGGCCAGGUAGAAGAUGGACAGGAUGAAGCCAAACUUCAGCCAGUCGCCCUGUGUGUGUGUGUGUGUGUGUUUGUGUGUGUGUGUGUGUGUGUGUGUGUGUGUGUGUGUGUGUGUGUGUGUGUGUGUGUGUGUGUGUGUGCAACACCCGUUGGGGGACAGGGCUGGACAGUAGCAGCGGCACGUGCACGCAGCCAAUGACUCUGUAUAAGGAGGCGUGGAGGCGUGGAACAGGCAAGGGGCCAAACCAUAUGCCUGCUAUCUUCCGCGCGCUGCGUACCCAUACCCUAUUUCAAGCACGACCCCGUUCUUGCCCCACCCACAGCCAACCACCAGCUCCCUUCCUUCACUAUCUAAGCCUGCCCCCACCAACCGCCUCACGCCCGGCCCUGGCCACCCGUACCUGAGGCACGUAGCCGGCGCCAAAGUACGGCGGCGCGGAGCCGAUGCCGUAGGUGGUGAGGCAGCCCAUCAGGUUGGACAGCUGGCCCAGAGCAAUGGCCGCCAGCAUGGGCGGCGUGCCACAGGCGGUGGCAACCGCCAGGAAGGCGGUGUACAUGGCGCCGAUGUGCGCGGCACCCGAGGCGAAGAAGUAGUGCGAGUAGAAGUACAGCAGCACCACAAUGCCGAAGGCGCCCUGGGAGGUGGUGGGAAGGGAUAGCGCGGGAGACGGGAUUGAAGGCAGGAGGGUGUAUACUAGGGCCGAGGGCAGGCGCGGCGAGGGCAGGCGCGGCGUGUGCGUGCGCUGCACUGCAAGCCCUGCAAGGUCCACUCCACAGACUCCACAGGCCCUCGAGGCCCCGGC